RNAcentral lists this ribosomal RNA (348 nucleotides) under uncultured bacterium. Its description in RNAcentral is "partial 16S ribosomal RNA". It matches the Rfam family "Bacterial small subunit ribosomal RNA", at positions 338 to 685 of the family's 1533-position model. The record is from RNAcentral.
CCUACGGGAUGCAGCAGUGAGGAAUAUUGGUCAAUGGGCGAGAGCCUGAACCAGCCAAGUCGCGUGAGGGAGUACUGCCCUAUGGGUUGUAAACCUCUUUUGUCGGGGAGCAAAAGCCGGACGGGUCCGGCUGUGAGAGUACCCGAAGAAAAAGCAUCGGCUAACUCCGUGCCAGCAGCCGCGGUAAUACGGAGGAUGCGAGCGUUAUCCGGAAUAAUUGGGUGUAAAGGGUGCGCAGGCGGAUUUUUAAGUCAGCGGUAAAAUCGUGGGGAGCAACCCCAUCCAGACGUUGAAACUGGGGAUCUAGAGGGUGCGGAAGGUAUGCAGAAGGCGUGGUGUGGCGGUGAA